GCGCAGCAGUCGAGAAUACUUUACAAUGUGCGAAAGCACGAUAAGGGAACUCUGAGUGCCUCCUAAGGAGGCUGUUCAGGUGUCUAAAAGCACCUGAAGGAAGGGCUGGGUAAGACCGGUGCCAGCCGCCGCGGUAACACCGGCAGCCCAAGUGGUAGCCACGUUUAUUGGGUCUAAAGCGUCCGUAGCCGGCUGGGUAAGUUCCUUGGGAAAUUUGGCUGCUUAACAGUCAAGCUUUCAGGGAAUACUGCCCGGCUUGGGACCGGGAGAGGUCAGAGGUACUCCAGGGGUAGGGGUGAAAUCCAUUAAUCCUUGGGGGACCACCGGUAGCGAAGGCGUCUGACCAGACCGGGUCCGACGGUGAGGGACGAAGGCUAGGGGCGCGAACCGGAUUAGAUACCCCUGUAGU
Molecule: ribosomal RNA, 409 nt
Filed under: uncultured microorganism
Description: bacterial SSU rRNA
Rfam family: Archaeal small subunit ribosomal RNA
Source: RNAcentral